Molecule: long non-coding RNA, 2221 nt
Organism: Bactrocera tryoni
Lineage: Eukaryota; Metazoa; Arthropoda; Insecta; Diptera; Tephritidae
Exons: 7
Source: RefSeq, a predicted model, not a curated record
UCAGUUUCGAACGUGAGCUUAUACGAGACGGUUCGCUACUUGUCGGCAGAAACGAGCAAUGCGGAAAUAGAAGAAUACAAGCAUACCUAAAAAGCAGAGAGCAGUUAAAAAUUAAAAAAAAUUAUUAACAAAACAAUAAACCUUAGAAAAAUUGUUAUUAUUUAUAAUACAAUGGUAAAGAAGAUUAAAAGCAAGCUGCAGCAAGACAACAAAUACUUGCCAACUACGAUACCAUAAAAAAUAAUUAAAAAGCCGAAGCCAGUGACUAGCAAGAGGUGGUUAAGAGGAAAUAAACGAUAAGUGGUGCCGGUAAAAAAUCGAACAGAAAAAGCACCAAUAAGAGACUGAGUGAAAAUUUUGAUAGCGGCCAAGCAUACCUUUCUGCUGAACAAAUAAAGACCAUGUGCUUGCGUGUGUGUUAAUGCGGUUAUUAGUCCGGCGGGUUAUAUCGCGCUCGCGAAAAAAGUCCAAACAGCGUGGGCGCAUACAUUUUAAUUAAACGCCCAGGCGCGUCCUUUAACAGCCGUUAGUGCUUUUUGUGUCUCAGUCCACGGUUUCCGUCGUCCAAUCAGCGUCAUCUUCAGCUAUAUCCGUUGAGACAAUGAAUAACAGAACAAGGAUCCGAAACAUGACUCUGGAAGAACAACAAAAUCACAGUCUCCGUAAAUUUCAAAGAUUUCCUUGCCCUCACCACAAAGCAUACACUAAUCGCAUGGUCUUAUGCAAAUAUUACAAAAUGAACCGCAGAAAGUUGAAUGGAAAUCGGGCUAAGCUCAACAAGGAGUCUACUCCGCAAGCGUAUGUGCAUUCUUGUGAGGACAUAUACUGGAACACGUAGUGUUGCCCACGGCGUAUGAGUAACAUACUCCCACAAAUAUGCGAAAUUUUGACUGAGAUAAUAUUGAAAAUAGUGUUUGAACAUAAAAUCAUGUUUUACCAUUUGCUGCAAUCUGCCAAUGUCACUUGGUAAAGACCACAGGUCGUCCAACCGUUUUGACACGCUAGCCAAACAGUGUGCAAAGCUGACCCGGCAAGAGGAACUCUGUCUUCACGCCCUGCUCGACUACUAAAACAGUCUCGAGAGAGCCGCCGAAAACGACUCCGAUCCAAUCAUCUAUUCAGUUUCGUGAUGAGAAAAAUCAAGUGCACUUGAUUGAUAUUUAAUUAAAAAGACACAACAAAAUAGGCAAAUUUUUCUGAAACGAAGCAGUACGAUCAGUCGCUGAAAUGCAAUUUUAUUCAAAUCUGAACAUGUCCGAGCGUCAGAUAGGGCAGGAAAAUUUCUAGAAUCCUUAUUAUUGGAAGGGAAAAGCAUAAAAAUGUCAAAACUCCGACAACUAACCUUAACUGACAUCCAAGGGCAGAUAAUGAAGAAAAGCGUACAAACUUUACCUCUGUUCCCUUCCCGCGUGGUAAGUCUUGCAAACAGCGGAUAUAACGAUGAGUGGAAACUCAAAUCCAAAGCAAUAAAGGAAAGUGUUAAAUCAGAAAGUGGAUAAAAAAAGAAUUCGCCGAAGUAAAAGGGGACAAAUCUAAGCAAUUCCAAUUACGCCCCAAGUACAAAUCUGCAAUUCACUUAGACGGCUAAGCGGCUUUUAGCGAAAUUUGAUGAUAUCGUUGGAUUUAAUACACUCACACUCUCAACAGGCACUUUGAAAUACGAUUUAUGUUCUUUUAAAUCCUCCUCCAUAGUCAGUCCUUCGGCAUCUUUCAACAGCGAGUCCUCUUAUGUAAUCUCCUCAUAGAAGUGCAUUACUUUAUUGAAAUUCAAGAGGACACUUCUUAAUAUGCGGCACUUUAAUAUGAACAUUUUUUAGGAAGGAGGAGUGUAACGGCAGACGAAAAAGCAAAUCGAUUGUAGAUCAGGGUAACUCCUUAACUUAGCUAUGUCGACCCAUUACAUACCUGAUGACAUCCUCAUGACCUCAAACGCUCAGGCACUUUGGAUGCUAAUGUGGCCGAUAUAAAAGAUAGCAACUAUACCAUUAUGGCUGCAACCUGAUUUACAUCUCAUAGCACAAUAGCAAUAAAUACUAUUUGGGUUUCGAUAUCUCGCCACUGUCGCGGAUAGACAAGCUAAUAUGUGAUGCGUUAUGAUGAGAAUCUUAAUUUCGAAGUCCACAUCAGUGAAAACCUGAGAUAGAAUUGCACGGAUUGAAAUUAAUUUUAUUAAUUAUAUUUUAAAUAAAUAUCUCAAGUUUUAAUGAUAAUAAAAGCGCAA